AGAGCGAACGCUGGCGGCAGGCUUAACACAUGCAAGUCGAGCGGGCGUAGCAAUACGUCAGCGGCAGACGGGUGAGUAACGCGUGGGAACGUACCUUUUGGUUCGGAACAACACAGGGAAACUUGUGCUAAUACCGGAUAAGCCCUUACGGGGAAAGAUUUAUCGCCAAAAGAUCGGCCCGCGUCUGAUUAGCUAGUUGGUGAGGUAACGGCUCACCAAGGCGACGAUCAGUAGCUGGUCUGAGAGGAUGAUCAGCCACAUUGGGACUGAGACACGGCCCAAACUCCUACGGGAGGCAGCAGUGGGGAUAUUGGACAAUGGGCGCAAGCCUGAUCCAGCCAUGCCGCGUGAGUGAUGAAGGCCCUAGGGUUGUAAAGCUCUUUUGUGCGGGAAGAUAAUGACGGUACCGCAAGAAUAAGCCCCGGCUAACUUCGCGCUAGCAGCCGC
RNAcentral lists this ribosomal RNA (447 nucleotides) under uncultured bacterium. RNAcentral describes it as "SSU rRNA". It matches the Rfam family "Bacterial small subunit ribosomal RNA", at positions 26 to 518 of the family's 1533-position model. The record is from RNAcentral.